This 984-nucleotide ribosomal RNA is filed under the name Staphylococcus aureus. Its description in RNAcentral is "bacterial SSU rRNA". It matches the Rfam family "Bacterial small subunit ribosomal RNA", at positions 1 to 966 of the family's 1533-position model. The record is from RNAcentral. Lineage: Bacteria; Bacillati; Bacillota; Bacilli; Caryophanales; Staphylococcaceae. RNAcentral also lists the same sequence under 1 other name.
UUUAUGGAGAGUUUGAUCCUGGCUCAGGAUGAACGCUGGCGGCGUGCCUAAUACAUGCAAGUCGAGCGAACGGACGAGAAGCUUGCUUCUCUGAUGUUAGCGGCGGACGGGUGAGUAACACGUGGAUAACCUACCUAUAAGACUGGGAUAACUUCGGGAAACCGGAGCUAAUACCGGAUAAUAUUUUGAACCGCAUGGUUCAAAAGUGAAAGACGGUCUUGCUGUCACUUAUAGAUGGAUCCGCGCUGCAUUAGCUAGUUGGUAAGGUAACGGCUUACCAAGGCAACGAUGCAUAGCCGACCUGAGAGGGUGAUCGGCCACACUGGAACUGAGACACGGUCCAGACUCCUACGGGAGGCAGCAGUAGGGAAUCUUCCGCAAUGGGCGAAAGCCUGACGGAGCAACGCCGCGUGAGUGAUGAAGGUCUUCGGAUCGUAAAACUCUGUUAUUAGGGAAGAACAUAUGUGUAAGUAACUGUGCACAUCUUGACGGUACCUAAUCAGAAAGCCACGGCUAACUACGUGCCAGCAGCCGCGGUAAUACGUAGGUGGCAAGCGUUAUCCGGAAUUAUUGGGCGUAAAGCGCGCGUAGGCGGUUUUUUAAGUCUGAUGUGAAAGCCCACGGCUCAACCGUGGAGGGUCAUUGGAAACUGGAAAACUUGAGUGCAGAAGAGGAAAGUGGAAUUCCAUGUGUAGCGGUGAAAUGCGCAGAGAUAUGGAGGAACACCAGUGGCGAAGGCGACUUUCUGGUCUGUAACUGACGCUGAUGUGCGAAAGCGUGGGGAUCAAACAGGAUUAGAUACCCUGGUAGUCCACGCCGUAAACGAUGAGUGCUAAGUGUUAGGGGGUUUCCGCCCCUUAGUGCUGCAGCUAACGCAUUAAGCACUCCGCCUGGGGAGUACGACCGCAAGGUUGAAACUCAAAGGAAUUGACGGGGACCCGCACAAGCGGUGGAGCAUGUGGUUUAAUUCGAAGCAACGCGAAG